This 405-nucleotide unclassified non-coding RNA is filed under the name soil metagenome. Its description in RNAcentral is "partial contains 5.8S ribosomal RNA, internal transcribed spacer 2, and large subunit ribosomal RNA". The stretch from base 1 to 121 matches the Rfam family "5.8S ribosomal RNA", at positions 35 to 154 of the family's 154-position model. The record is from RNAcentral.
GAUGAAGAACGUAGCGAAAUGCGAUAAGUAAUGUGAAUUGCAGAAUUCAGUGAAUCAUCGAAUCUUUGAACGCACCUUGCGCCCUUUGGCCAUUCCGAAGGGCAUGCCUGUUUGAGUAUCAUGAACACCUCAACUCUUCAUGGUUUUCCGUGAUGAGCUUGGACUUUGGGGGUCUUGCUGGCCUAUGGUCAGCUCCUCUAAAAUAAAUCAGCUUGCCAGUGUUUGGUGGGUAUCACAGGUGUGAUAACUAUCUACGCUUGUGGUUUUCCACCAGGUAACCUUCAGCAGUGGAGGUUCGCUGGAGCUCACAGAGGUGUCUCUCCUCAGUGAGGACAGCUCUUUGAAUGUUUGAUCUCAAAUCAGGUAGGACUACCCGCUGAACUUAAGCAUAUCAAUAAGCGAGUA